Molecule: non-coding RNA, 312 nt
Organism: Vicia faba (fava bean)
Lineage: Eukaryota; Viridiplantae; Streptophyta; Magnoliopsida; Fabales; Fabaceae
Source: the annotation of a GenBank genome assembly
AUGGUUGUUGCACCGAUGAAAGUGACAUUAUCAAAACUUAUCCACUCUGAGAGGUUCUCACAUAGGCUUUGGUGUUUCGAUCCUCAGUUUUCUAAACUCUACAUUGGUGCACUCUUGCAUGAUGUGCUCCUCGAAGCGUUUAAUGAAUCUCUCAUAGUCAUACCUAACCAACCAGUAACAACACCACCACCAAAAUGGGCACAGCUACCUGCGUCGAUAUCAUUGUUGCCAUCCUCCUUCCACCUCUCGGCGUCUUCCUCAAAUUUGGCUGCAAAGUUGAGUUCUGGCUCUGUUUGGUGCUCACUCUCUUAG